UGAUGCAGCCAUGCCGCGUGUAUGAAGAAGGCCUCGGGUUGUAAAGUACUUUCAGCAGUGAGGAAGGUGGGGUAUGGUUAAUAGCAUACUCAUUUGACGUUAGCUGCAGAAGAAGCACCGGCUAACUCCGUGCCAGCAGCCGCGGUAAUACGGAGGGUGCGAGCGUUAAUCGGAAUUACUGGGCGUAAAGCGCAUGCAGGUGGUUGUUAAGUCAGAUGUGAAAGCCCGGGGCUCAACCUCGGAAUUGCAUUUGAAACUGGCAAACUAGAGUACUGUAGAGGGGGUAGAAUUUCAGGUGUAGCGGUGAAAUGCGUAGAGAUCUGAAGGAAUACCGGUGGCGAAGGCGGCCCCCUGGACAGAUACUGACACUCAGAUGCGAAAGCGUGGGGAGCAAACAGGAUUAGAUACCCUGGUAG
RNAcentral lists this ribosomal RNA (416 nucleotides) under uncultured bacterium. RNAcentral's name for it is "bacterial SSU rRNA". It matches the Rfam family "Bacterial small subunit ribosomal RNA", at positions 384 to 793 of the family's 1533-position model. The record is from RNAcentral.